AUACGAAGGGGGCUAGCGUCGUUCGGAAUCACUGGGCGUAAAGCGCGCGUAGGUGGAUCAAUUAGUUGAGGGUGAAAUCCCGGGGCUCAACCUCGGAACUGCCUUCAAUACUGUUGAUCUUGAGACCGAGAGAGGUGAGUGGAAUUCCUAGUGUAGAGGUGAAAUUCGUAGAUAUUAGGAAGAACACCAGUGGCGAAGGCGGCUCACUGGCUCGGUACUGACGCUGAGGUGCGAAAGCGUGGGUAGCAAACGGGAUUAGAUACCCUAGUAGUCC
Molecule: ribosomal RNA, 274 nt
Filed under: uncultured bacterium
Lineage: Bacteria
Description: partial 16S ribosomal RNA
Rfam family: Bacterial small subunit ribosomal RNA
Source: RNAcentral